Long non-coding RNA from Antechinus flavipes (yellow-footed antechinus), 109 nucleotides. RefSeq lists it as uncharacterized. The transcript has 2 exons. The record is from RefSeq and is a predicted model, not a curated record. Lineage: Eukaryota; Metazoa; Chordata; Mammalia; Dasyuromorphia; Dasyuridae.
AUUGUAAUGGGCUGAGGCUUGAGUUGAUGCACUGAGGUCCCAAGCACAUGAGGCUGAAUAGUGAUUGGACCAUACUCUAUUAAUAUAUAAGCUUGGAGAAAGAAUGGCC